GGUUGAGCAGUUUAUUUAAUUAAAUUGGUGUUGUAUGUGUUCAAAAAUAAAGAAUAAAUUUUGUUGUGAUUUGAAAUUGAAUAUAUUAUUUAUUCUUAUUACUAAAUGUAAUUAUAUAAUUAUCUUGGAAAAUCUUUUUUUGAAUAAAAUAUUUUUUUUUAAUAAUUCUUCACUGUUGUUCCAAUUGAAGUGUUCCUCAAAUAUUGAUUCAAUACAUUACCUCGGGCCAACCAAUUCAUUUGAUUAAGUUCCUCAAGAUAUUCAUACACUUCCUAGUAUAAUUGUAAACUUCCUGUUAAAUGGUUUGAAUGCACCAAUCACCUUUGUUGUUUGUGCAACUAACCAAUCAUCAAUAGAAAGGAAGUGACCAGAAAUUAUUAAAUACUUGGAAUUGGCUCUUUCACAGGAAGUGUAUGAAUAUCUGGAGCAACUUGAUGGAAUGAGAUGCUUGUGUGAUGUUACUCUGAGUGUAUAUCCACACCGGGCAGGCUUGAAAAAUAUGCCUGGCCACAGUGGGAUUUCAAGCUUGCCCGGUGUGGAUAUGCACUCAGAGUAAUAUCACACAAGCAUCAUAUUCACAAAUAUCAUGGUUGUUAGAUUACACUGAUAUCGAAGGAACUAGACUCAGUUCCGAAAUAUCGCAUACUCGAACUGCCCCGACUGUAUAGCUCAGUUGGCAGAGCAUAUUUGGGCCAGUAUUCCAAAGGUUGUAGGUUCAAAUCCCACUGUGGCCAGGCAUAUUUUUCAAGCCUGCCCAGUGUGGAUAUCCACUCAGAGUAUGUAACAUCACACAAGCAUCUUAUUCACCUGAGUACAUGUAUUACACCAACACAGCAAAUAUCUUGAUGGAAUGAAUUGGUCAGCCCGAGGUAAAGUAUUGAAUCAAUAUUUGAGGAACACUUAAAAAUAAGGUAUGAAUCGCAUAAAAUGCAGAUAUCAAAAUCAAACAUUG
Paramuricea clavata is the source of this 952-nucleotide non-coding RNA. The record is from the annotation of a GenBank genome assembly. Lineage: Eukaryota; Metazoa; Cnidaria; Anthozoa; Malacalcyonacea; Plexauridae.